AUUGAACGCUGGCGGCAGGCCUAACACAUGCGAGUCGAGCGGAUGAAGGGAGAUUGCUCCUGGAUUCAGCGGCGGACGGGUGAGUAAUGCCUAGGAAUCUGCCUGGUAGUGGGGGAUAACGUCCGGAAACGGGCGCUAAUACCGCAUACGUCCUGAGGGAGAAAGUGGGGGAUCUUCGGACCUCACGCUAUCAGAUGAGCCUAGGUCGGAUUAGCUAGUUGGUGGGGUAAAGGCCUACCAAGGCGACGAUCCGUAACUGGUCUGAGAGGAUGAUCAGUCACACUGGAACUGAGACACGGUCCAGACUCCUACGGGAGGCAGCAGUGGGGAAUUUUGGACAAUGGGCGAAAGCCUGAUCCAGCCAUGCCGCGUGUGUGAAGAAGGUCUUCGGAUUGUAAAGCACUUUAAUUUGGGAGGAAGGGCAGUAAGUUAAUACUUUGCUGUUUUGACGUUACUAACAGAAUAAGCACCGGCUAACUUCGUG
RNAcentral lists this ribosomal RNA (484 nucleotides) under uncultured bacterium. RNAcentral describes it as "partial 16S ribosomal RNA". It matches the Rfam family "Bacterial small subunit ribosomal RNA", at positions 30 to 507 of the family's 1533-position model. The record is from RNAcentral.